GGAUGGCGCAACCAGUAAAGGUCCAUAAGGACUGCAACUACUUGGAAUGGAGUAACAUACAAAAACACAGCCCAGAUCAAUGCAAGGAUUAUAAAUAUAGCAGUAGCCCUUGGAUCCCGCCAGCUUAGUAUGGUCUAUUUUGAGUGACUAUAUUUUUCCCUUUAGAUGUUCCUGCAGCUGUAAUUGAAGUUUCGUCAGUAAUUUGAGUUUUAAGGUGUUUCUCAUCGUCACCUUCUAGGUCUAAUUUUUUAAUGUGCUCUUCCUACACAAUAUCUUAUUUUUUAUAGUGCUCGACCUGCACUUUUACAUUUGUAACUUCAGUAGUUAGUGUAAUAACUUGCUCUUGUAUUAACUCCAUUUGUUUAAACAUUUGCAGCAAUAAAUUAGUCUGGGUAUCUUUGACAUCA
Capsicum annuum is the source of this 407-nucleotide long non-coding RNA. RefSeq lists it as uncharacterized. The record is from RefSeq and is a predicted model, not a curated record. NCBI's taxonomy places the organism in Eukaryota, Viridiplantae, Streptophyta, Magnoliopsida, Solanales, Solanaceae. The transcript is spliced from 2 exons.